This 468-nucleotide ribosomal RNA is filed under the name uncultured bacterium. RNAcentral's name for it is "partial 16S ribosomal RNA". It matches the Rfam family "Bacterial small subunit ribosomal RNA", at positions 28 to 507 of the family's 1533-position model. The record is from RNAcentral.
GACGAACGCUGGCGGCGUGCUUAACGCAUGCAAGUCGAACGGAAAUGCCCUGCUUUUGUGGGGUGCUCGAGUGGCGAACGGGUGAGUAACACGUGAGUAACCUGCCCUUGACUUUGGGAUAACUUCAGGAAACUGGGGCUAAUACCGGAUAGGAGCUCCUGCUGCAUGGUGGGGGUUGGAAAGUUUCGGCGGUUGGGGAUGGACUCGCGGCUUAUCAGCUUGUUGGUGGGGUAGUGGCUUACCAAGGCUUUGACGGGUAGCCGGCCUGGGAGGGUGACCGGCCACAUUGGGACUGAGAUACGGCCCAGACUCCUACGGGAGGCAGCAGUGGGGAAUAUUGCACAAUGGGCGGAAGCCUGAUGCAGCAACGCCGCGUGUGGGAUGACGGCCUUCGGGUUGUAAACCGCUUUCGCCUGUGACGAAGCGUGAGUGACGGUAAUGGGUAAAGAAGCACCGGCUAACUACGUG